RNAcentral lists this microRNA precursor (91 nucleotides) under Olea europaea subsp. europaea. The record is from RNAcentral. Lineage: Eukaryota; Viridiplantae; Streptophyta; Magnoliopsida; Lamiales; Oleaceae.
GGCCAUGUCUUCCCGCAGCUUUCUUGAGCUUCUUCCCGAUUCUCGCAACGUUUGAAAAAAAGUUCAAGAAAGCUGUGGAAAAGCAUGGCAG